AACGAACGCUGGCGGCAUGCCUAACACAUGCAAGUCGAACGAAACCAAGGCUUCGGCCUGAAGUUUAGUGGCGCACGGGUGCGUAACGCGUGGGAAUCUGCCCUUGGGUUCGGAAUAACUCAGAGAAAUUUGAGCUAAUACCGGAUGAUGACGAAAGUCCAAAGAUUUAUCGCCCAGGGAUGAGCCCGCGUAAGAUUAGCUUGUUGGUGAGGUAAAGGCUCACCAAGGCGACGAUCUUUAGCUGGUCUGAGAGGAUGAUCAGCCACACUGGGACUGAGACACGGCCCAGACUCCUACGGGAGGCAGCAGUGGGGAAUAUUGGACAAUGGGCGAAAGCCUGACGCAGCAACGCCGCGUGAGGGAUGACGGCCUUCGGUUGUAAACCGUCUUUCUAGCAGGGAAGGAAGCGAAAGUGACGGUACCGUGCAGAAGAAGCACCGGCUAACUACGUAGCCAGCAGCCGCGGUAAU
RNAcentral lists this ribosomal RNA (470 nucleotides) under uncultured bacterium. RNAcentral describes it as "bacterial SSU rRNA". It matches the Rfam family "Bacterial small subunit ribosomal RNA", at positions 29 to 524 of the family's 1533-position model. The record is from RNAcentral.